RNAcentral lists this transfer RNA (90 nucleotides) under Alphaproteobacteria bacterium. Its description in RNAcentral is "tRNA-Ser". It matches the Rfam family "tRNA". From Rfam's summary of the family: Transfer RNA (tRNA) molecules are approximately 80 nucleotides in length. Their secondary structure includes four short double-helical elements and three loops (D, anti-codon, and T loops). RNAcentral also lists the same sequence under 2 other names. The record is from RNAcentral. Lineage: Bacteria; Pseudomonadati; Pseudomonadota; Alphaproteobacteria.
GGAUGGGUGGCCGAGCGGUUUAAGGCACCGGUCUUGAAAACCGGCGUGGGUGUAAGCUCACCGUGGGUUCGAAUCCCACCCCAUCCGCCA